AGUUGGUAGGGUAAGGGCCUACCAAGCCAAUGAUCGGUAGCCGGCCUGAGAGGGUGAACGGCCACAUUGGAACUGAGAGACGGUCCAAACUCCUACGGGAGGCAGCAGUGGGGAAUAUUGGGCAAUGGGCGGAAGCCUGACCCAGCAACGCCGCGUGAGGGAAGAAGGUUUUCGGAUUGUAAACCUCUGUUCUUGGGGAAGAGGAGGAGACGGUACCCAAGGAGGAAGCCCCGGCUAACUACGUGCCAGCAGCCGCGGUAAUACGUAGGGGGCGAGCGUUGUCCGGAAUGAUUGGGCGUAAAGGGCGCGCAGGCGGCCUGUCAAGUCAGUAGUGGAAGUCCAUUUUUCAAGGAUGGAAGUGCUAUAGAAACUGAUGGGCUUGAGUGCAGGAGAGGUUAUCGGAAUUCCCGGUGUAGCGGUGAAAUGCGUAGAGAUCGGGAGGAACACCAGUGGCGAAGGCGGGUAACUGGACUGCAACUGACGCUGAGGCGCGAAAGUGUGGGGAGCAAACAGGAUUAGAUACCCUGGUAGUCCACACUGUAAACGAUGAAUGCUAGGUGUAGGGGGUAUCGACCCCUUCUGUGCCGAAGUAAA
Molecule: ribosomal RNA, 594 nt
Filed under: uncultured bacterium
Lineage: Bacteria
Description: bacterial SSU rRNA
Rfam family: Bacterial small subunit ribosomal RNA
Source: RNAcentral